Molecule: ribosomal RNA, 478 nt
Filed under: uncultured organism
Description: partial 16S ribosomal RNA
Rfam family: Bacterial small subunit ribosomal RNA
Source: RNAcentral
GUACACUCCUACGGGAGGCAGCAGUGGGGAAUUUUGGACAAUGGGCGAAAGCCUGAUCCAGCAAUGCCGCGUGAGUGAAGAAGGCCUUCGGGUUGUAAAGCUCUUUUGUCAGGGAAGAAACGGUGAAAGCUAAUAUCUUUUGCUAAUGACGGUACCUGAAGAAUAAGCACCGGCUAACUACGUGCCAGCAGCCGCGGUAAUACGUAGGGUGCAAGCGUUAAUCGGAAUUACUGGGCGUAAAGCGUGCGCAGGCGGUUUUGUAAGUCUGAUGUGAAAUCCCCGGGCUCAACCUGGGAAUUGCAUUGGAGACUGCAAGGCUAGAAUCUGGCAGAGGGGGGUAGAAUUCCACGUGUAGCAGUGAAAUGCGUAGAUAUGUGGAGGAACACCGAUGGCGAAGGCAGCCCCCUGGGUCAAGAUUGACGCUCAUGCACGAAAGCGUGGGGAGCAAACAGGAUUAGAAACCCCGGUAGUCCCAUGA